Molecule: ribosomal RNA, 429 nt
Filed under: Anisomeridium sp. 29329A
Lineage: Eukaryota; Fungi; Ascomycota; Dothideomycetes; Monoblastiales; Monoblastiaceae
Description: mitochondrial SSU rRNA
Rfam family: Bacterial small subunit ribosomal RNA
Source: RNAcentral
CCAGCAACUUGGGGGAAUGAGUUUUGUAUUUUGAUCAAAACAAAGGAUUAUAUCUUAUAAAGUUCUAGAUAAAAGAUUGAUGAUGACAGUUUUUUAUCUAUGUGUCUUGGCUAAAUUUUGUGCCAGCAGCCGCGGUAAUACAAAGGAGACUAGUGUUAUUCAUCUUUAUUAGGUUUAAAGGGUACCUAGACGGCUUAUCUUGUUCCCUUAGAGGGGAAAAAUACCGAUUAGCUAGAGUUUUAUGUAAAAGGAACAUGUGGAACUAAAAGAGGAGAGAUAAAAUUUAUUAAUACUUUUAGGACCGACAAAGGUGAAAGCAAACCUUUAUGUAAUAACUGACGUUGAGGGACGAAGGCAUUGCGCAACGAACAGGAUUAGAUACCCUAGUAGUCUUUGCAGUAAAUGAUAAAUGCCAUAGGUCAGGACUAG